CCAUGGCCGCUUUAAGGACCCCCGGUAUUGUCGGGUCCCACUGUAACUCCUCUUAAAAGGGCAACACCGCUCCCGUUGGUUCCGGCAGUGGAGCCCGGGAGGGGUUGGGGGUCCCGGGAGGGGUUUGGGGGUACCUGGGUGAUGCCGAUGAAGGCGAUGGGGUCCCCAUGCUGGGUAUAAACCUUUGUGAGCGUUUCCUGGGGGGUUUUCGGAAGUUCUGGGUGUUUUUGGGGCCAUGGUGGUUUUUUGGAAGUUCCCAAGGGGGUUUACAGGGGUCCUGAUGGGGGAAUUUCCCGGGAGUGGAAUUUGGGAUCUCAAGGCUGUUUUGGGGAACCUGCUGGUGAUGGAGAUGGGGACCCCAUGCCAGGUAUGAACCUUCUCAAUGUAUGGGGUUUUGCGGUUUUGGGGAGUUUUUGGAGCAUCCAGGGAUGUGUUUGGGAUCAGGGGAGGUUGGGGUGUCCCGGGGGGUUUGGGGGUUCUCGGCAGGUUUGGGGGUACCUGGGCAAUGCGGGUGGCAGUGCUGGGGACCCCGUGCCGGGUUUGAACCUUCUCACUGCGCACGGGCAGCGUCAGCGUGUUCAGGGAGAUCCUGGGGGGCCCGGGGGGUCACCCCAAAUCCCAGGGACCCCAAAUGCUGAGGGACCCCCCGAACUGCCCUCACCGCUGGAUCUGCUGCAGGCAGGGGGGCACCAGCACUCGGCCCCCACCCUCCACCAUCACAGGGGGGCUGUGGAAGAAAUCUGGGGGUGCAGGGACAGGUCGGGUGGGACCCCCAAAGUCCUGGGGGAGAGGACACGGGGGGACUCCCAGGAAUUCCCAUUAUGGGGGAUGAGGAGGGACCCAGGAAGAGUUUGGGGGCCUGGGUGGGUCAUGGGGGGACCCCCAGGAGUCUUGUGGGGGGUGGGGAGGGCAAAGAACAGGGCGACCCCCAGGAUGGGUUUGGGGGGGAACCGGAUUGGAGCUCCCAUGGCAGUGGGAUGGGGAGAUCUGCCCAUGGAAUUCCAUGGGAAUGGCAUGGCAGUGAGAUCCAUCUACAGAAUUCCCAUGGGAAUGGGACAGCAGUGGGAUCCAUCCAUGGAGAUCUCACGGGAAUGGGAUGUCUGAGAUCCAUCCAUGGAAUUUCCAUGGGAAUUCCCACGUUCCCAAAUUUUGCCCUCCCAAAUCCCACAUUCCCAUUCCCAUAUUCCCAUGGGAAUUCUGCCCUCCCCACCUUUACACUCCAGCGCCUCCCGCCCAUAUCUGACAUAUUUCCGGAGACAUUCCCUGCAGCUGUGAGCCAGGGAAUUUGUUAAUCCCUCAGCCUGGAUCUCAGGGAUCCCCAUGGCGGUGCCACAGUUGCCAUCGCAGCCCCACAGAUCCCCCAGCCCCGGCUCCCCCCGCUCAGCCCCGCUCUGGCUGUGCCGCUGCUGCAGCAUCUGCAGCUCCCCGCUGGCCCCGUGCCGGUGCCGCUCCUUGUGCCGGCCCUGGCUAUCCCAAUAUCCCAGCCCUGGCUAUCCCAAUAUCCCAGCCCUGGCUAUCCCAAUAUCCCAGCCCUGGCUAUCCCAAUAUCCCAGCCCUGGCUAUUCCAAUAUCCCAGCUUUGGCUAUCCCAAUAUCCCAGCCCUGGCUAUCCCAAUAUCCCAGCCCUGUCUUUCACAAUAUCCCAGCUCUGGCUAUCCCGAUAUCCCAGCUCUGGCUAUCCCAAUAUCCCAGCCCUGGCUAUCCCAAUAUCCCAGCCCUGGCUAUCCCAAGAUCCCGGCUCGGCUCCGCCCGGCCCCGCUCGCUGCGGCGGCGCUGGAAGNNNNNNNNNNNNNNNNNNNNAAUCCCUCAAAAUUCCACAAAAAUCCCACAAAAUACCACAGAAAUCCUACCAAAUUCCUGAAACAUCCCACAAAAUUCUAGAAACAUGCCACAAAAUUCCCUAAAUUUUCUCAAAAGCCUAACAAAUUCCAGAAACAUCCCACAAAAUUCUUCAAGUCUCCACAAAAUCCCAAAAAAUUGCAGAAAAAUCCCAGAAAAUUGUGGAAAUCUUCUCAAAAGCUCAACAAAUUCCAGAAACAUCCCACAAAAUCCCCACAAAUGUCCACAAAAACCUAAGAAAAUACCUCAAAAUUCUUCAUGUCUCC
Cyanistes caeruleus (blue tit) is the source of this 2104-nucleotide long non-coding RNA. Lineage: Eukaryota; Metazoa; Chordata; Aves; Passeriformes; Paridae. The record is from Ensembl.